RNAcentral lists this ribosomal RNA (388 nucleotides) under uncultured bacterium. RNAcentral's name for it is "bacterial SSU rRNA". It matches the Rfam family "Bacterial small subunit ribosomal RNA", at positions 30 to 420 of the family's 1533-position model. The record is from RNAcentral.
AUUGAACGCUGGCGGCAUGCCUUACACAUGCAAGUCGAACGGCAGCGGACCUUCGGGUGCCGGCGAGUGGCGAACGGGUGAGUAAUAUAUCGGAACGUACCUUUCAGUGGGGGAUAACGUAGCGAAAGUUACGCUAAUACCGCAUAUUCUGUGAGCAGGAAAGCAGGGGAUCGCAAGACCUUGCGCUGAUUGAGCGGCCGAUAUCAGAUUAGCUAGUUGGUGAGGUAAAGGCUCACCAAGGCGACGAUCUGUAGCGGGUCUGAGAGGAUGAUCCGCCACACUGGAACUGAGACACGGUCCAGACUCCUACGGGAGGCAGCAGUGGGAAUUUUGGGACAAUGGGCGCAAGCCUGAUCCAGCCAUGCCGCGUGAGUGAAGAAGGCCUCGG